Molecule: long non-coding RNA, 230 nt
Filed under: Elaeis guineensis (African oil palm)
Lineage: Eukaryota; Viridiplantae; Streptophyta; Magnoliopsida; Arecales; Arecaceae
Description: long non-coding RNA (EGUI_LNC076356)
Source: RNAcentral
ACUUUAUGUGUGGCGUCUCUCCGAACCCCCUCGACCGUCCGGACUUCUCCGACAAUGAACUUCUGCACUCAUCCACUGGGCCACCCCAAAGGCCCUUUGGGCCCCACUGUUAGCCGACCUUCUACAGCAACCAACUAUUUUCCAAACUUCUUCCAGACUUCAUCUGCAUCCGAGCUUCCCCGACAGCGUGAUUUCUAUGGUAACCAGACUCCAUCCAAGUUUUCACGAUG